Molecule: microRNA precursor, 297 nt
Filed under: Nicotiana tabacum (common tobacco)
Lineage: Eukaryota; Viridiplantae; Streptophyta; Magnoliopsida; Solanales; Solanaceae
Source: RNAcentral
GAGUAGAUUGCAGCCAAGGAUGACUUGCCGAGAUGUUGUAGCUAAUGCAACGACUUAUCGGCAGGUCGUCCUUGGCUACAUUUUACUCUCUUCUGCUCAUGUAAGUCUCUGAAAUGCAUAUAUAUAAUUCAGAGGUAAAGUUAUCACACAUCACAUCCAGUUGAAUUGCUCACAAUUUGUCUAGAGAGUCAUUGCAUGAAGAGGUAGGGAGUGGAUUGCAGCCAAGGAUGACUUGCCGAGAUGUUGUAGCCAAUGCAAUGACUUAUCGGCAGGUCGUCCUUGGCUACAUUUUACUCU